This 479-nucleotide ribosomal RNA is filed under the name uncultured Alphaproteobacteria bacterium. RNAcentral's name for it is "bacterial SSU rRNA". It matches the Rfam family "Bacterial small subunit ribosomal RNA", at positions 9 to 524 of the family's 1533-position model. Lineage: Bacteria; Pseudomonadati; Pseudomonadota; Alphaproteobacteria. The record is from RNAcentral.
GAGUUUGAUCGUGGCUCAGAACGAACGCUGGCGGCAUGCCUAACACAUGCAAGUCGAACGGGAUCCAGGCUUCGGCCUGGUGAGAGUGGCGGACGGGUGAGUAACGCGUGGGAACCUGCCCAAUGGUCUGGGAUAACCGCGGGAAACUGCGGCUAAUACCGGAUAAGCCCGAGAGGGGAAAGAUUUAUCGCCGAUGGAGGGGCCCGCGUCCGAUUAGGUAGUUGGUGAGGUAACGGCUCACCAAGCCGACGAUCGGUAGCUGGUCUGAGAGGAUGAUCAGCCACACUGGGACUGAGAUACGGCCCAGACUCCUACGGGAGGCAGCAGUGGGGAAUAUUGGACAAUGGGGGCAACCCUGAUCCAGCAAUGCCGCGUGAGUGAUGAAGGCCUUAGGGUUGUAAAGCUCUUUUGGCGGGGACGAUGAUGACGGUACCCGCAGAAGAAGCCCCGGCUAACUUCGUGCCAGCCGCCGCCGUAAC